RNAcentral lists this unclassified non-coding RNA (806 nucleotides) under Hevea brasiliensis (rubber tree). Lineage: Eukaryota; Viridiplantae; Streptophyta; Magnoliopsida; Malpighiales; Euphorbiaceae. The record is from RNAcentral.
GCUACGAUUCUAGAAAUGGAAGAUGAAGAAGAUCCACCACUCGCUGUUGAGAUCAGCUCAACGAUUACGGCUGCCGAGCGGCUUGAAGACGAUGGUGUUUCUGUUGGCGUUACAGUUAUCACUGGAUAUCUUGGAGCUGGAAAAUCCACCCUGGUUAAUUACAUAUUGAACUCGCAACACGGCAAGAGAAUCGCUGUUAUACUGAAUGAGUUUGGGGAGGAAAUUGGAGUUGAGAGAGCGAUGAUAAAUGAAGGUGAUGGUGGGGCAUUGGUUGAGGAAUGGGUCGAAUUAGCAAACGGAUGUAUUUGUUGCACUGUCAAGCAUAACCUGGUUCAAGCCUUGGAGCAACUUGUGCAGAGAAAAGAAAGGCUUGAUCAUAUUUUGUUGGAAACUACGGGGUUAGCCAAUCCUGCUCCACUUGCUUCGGUACUUUGGCUGGACGAUCAAUUGGAAUCGUCGAUCAAGCUUGAUUCAAUUAUUACCGUUGUGGAUGCAAAAAAUCUCCAUUUUCAAUUAAAUGAGCACAAAAGUUCAUCGUCCUUUCCCGAAGCAUUUCAUCAAAUUGCGUUUGCGGAUACUAUUAUUCUUAACAAGGUCGACCUGGUCUCUUCAGAACUUGGCGAUGGUGCACUGGAGGACCUGGAGUAUGAAAUACAUAAUAUUAAUUCCCUUGCCAAAAUAGUUCACUCUGUUCGGUGUCAAGUUGACCUGUCUCUCAUACUAAACUGCAAUUCCUAUAAUGCUGCUAAUACAGCUCAUUUGGAAGCAUUGUUGAAAGAAAGUCGUUCUUUAUCUACUAGAGAUCU